This 8092-nucleotide long non-coding RNA is filed under the name Pan troglodytes (chimpanzee). RNAcentral's name for it is "long non-coding RNA NONPTRT006744". Lineage: Eukaryota; Metazoa; Chordata; Mammalia; Primates; Hominidae. The record is from RNAcentral.
CGGGGAGGUAGCAGCAGAGGCGUGGGAGGAAAGUACUCACCGGAAGAAGUCGUUCUUGCAGUACAGUUUGCCUUCCCUGGAGAAGCACUUCUCGGUCAGGUUGCAUUUACAUUCACAGCACUGGACGCACUUGACGUGCCAGGCCCUGUCCAGCACGUUCAAGAGAAAGCGGUCCAGGAUGGGCCUUUUGCAGCCGGCACAGUGAACCAUGGUCUUUGGUUUGGUCUGAUGAGGCCCAGAGAGAGAGAGGGGCAAAGUAGAGCCCAGGGGAUGACUCCUGAAGACAACCGGCACGAGCUCCCCAGUCUCUCCAAAAAGAGGACACACACUCGGCCGUGCAAGCCAAAACUCGCACCAGGAAAUCAAAGUAGGGUGGAGGAAACGAGGCUGAUCGGGGCCUGGGGGGUGUCUCAGUGAAGUGUGCAGCCGGGGAGUCCUGGGGCCCCGGGCUGGAGCGGCGCCGCCUGAGCUCCCGGGGCGAGGAAAAGAAGUCUCAGGCGGGAGAGAAUGCGACCCUUCUGCUCAGAGCCCGCGGAGGAGUGAAGGUCAGCGAGAACGGCGGCGGGAACGGAAAUAAAUAAAUAAAAACGGAGAAGAAGAAGAAGACGACUUGCCGAGCUCGGGUUGCGAGGAAAGCGCCGCUGAGUUCUCCGGCGCUUGAGGUUCCAGAAUGACGCUCGGCCCAUGGACAGAGCCUGCCCAGUCACUCUCGGCUGCUAUUGAUCCCGAGGAUGAUGGCCGCCCCUAGCCAUUUCCCUCCUCUCUCUUCGGUUCCAGAACAGCCCAAGGAGCAGAAAAGAGUGACAAGGCCGUGAAAGGAGGCGCCUGGGGCGUAGCCGGCUCUAGGAGGUUACCCCAUGCGGAGUACACACCCUGCUACACCCAUCCCGGAGGAGGGAGGAAAUAGCCAGCCCGGAGCACCCCUGGACUCUGCCGGUCCCAGAGGCCACGCAAACUCCGCCCAGACUCGGUGAGGCCGCGGUAAUGCCACGCAGGGAACUGCGUGGAUAAGGUCGCUCGGAUCUGAGCGCCAAGGUCUCCCGCCUCUCCUUCCCGUCUAGUUCUCUCCGGACUCAAAUUGCCUUAAUCUCACCCAUCACUCUGUCAUGGAAAUGAUCUACUCGUGUGCAGUACUUUACAGCUUGUAUCACGGUCUCCCCUGAACCGUAUAGCAAGAGGGUGGUGGGGGGUGGAAGAGAAGGGUACCAUCUCCACUUUCCCGGCCAGGAGGCCCAAGUUAGGAGGCUUGUCCGAGAUCCCUAGGUCAGCGCACUAUUUAAGGUGAGAAGUUGGGUGGAGAGCUUGGCACCUUGCUCCAGUGUGCACUUUGCGCCUGGCCAUGUUUUAUAAGCAAGGGGGGCUUGGGCUGUUUAAGGGGGAGCAGGGACCGCAGGGCCAGGAAAGGGCAGCAUCCGGCAGGCCGGGGCGUCACGGUGUGUGCCUGGCCUGGGUAAACAACUCCGGCUUCCCACGAGCGCUGGAGGGACCCUGGGCAUGGGGCAGGGGCGUGGGGGAGGGGGGGCAGGGGCGUGGGGUGGGGCAGGGAGCGGGUGGAACAGCGAGGUCAAGCGUGGAGAUUCCAGUUGCGAGUCAGCUCCGCGCCGCGGAGCAAAGACAGGACGUGGAUAAUCUUGGGAGCGAGACGCUGAGCUGAAGAACAGAAAAGAGAGAUAGAGGCAGAAGUGAGGAGAGAGGGACAGGAAAAGAAAAUAAAGGCAGAAAACCAGAGAAAAGAUGAGACGGAGUGCGGAAAAGCAGGCGGGGAUAAAGAAAGGAAAGAUCUGUCGGGGAAAUGCGGGGAGAAGUGGAGGAAAAGAAACAGAAAAUAGACCCAGAGAGAGACCCUGCCACGAAGAAGGCCGCGGGGACGGGCGCGGAGCCGAGGGCCCUGCAGGCACGGAGGGGGCGUCCCGCGGGUCUGGGGGUGUGCGGCUUUGGGACAGGCGAGUGCGUGCUGAGAGAAGGAGGCAGCGUGUUUUGUGGGAGACUCUGCGCCCGUGGAAAAGCGGCUCUGGGCAGGAAUCCAACAAAUAAAUAAAACGUCUAAGACGGCGUGACAACAAUGUGUAUUUGGGUGCGUGCCCGUGUUCCUCUGUCUGAACACAGUCACACCCAGUAAGGAAGACAAACGGGGCUCGUGCCUCACAGUAAUUAAUCCUCUCACUAAUUGACUCUCUCCCCUUACCUAAUGGCGGUGGUCACUGCCGAUAUCUGGAGAGACAUCAAGUAGGGGGAGACAGAGAGAGAGAACCCCAAAGCUAACGACCUUUGGGACUGAGAUUGAGUUUUUUCUGGACUUGGCAGCUCUAAGCCCCUGCCCCCACCUCCACUUUUGGGCAGAGUUCCAUAGAUAUUGCUGCCUUCCUUCCCCCUCCAGGUUUUGGGCAGCAUUAAUAAAGAUCUCCUCAGAUUAGGGUGAUGUGGUUACACACACUGAAGCCCUUCUACCGCCCUCCACCUUGGGAGAUCAGUUUCAGAGGCUGAAAGCCACCCCUGUCCCUGGGACAUUUCUUACCUCCCUGCAAUACCAGCUCCCCCUCCCAUGUUGUUCCCCCAGGGGCCCAGACCCUGCACCCUCUUCUUUCAGGCAGUACUAACUCUUCCAAGGACCUGGGCGGUGUCCCGCAGUCCCCUAAGGCAGGUGAGGUUUUGAACGGGCUGAGAAGCAGUCUGGGGUUGAUGGAAGGAGAGCGGUGGGAGGUCAGGGCAAGGAUGGGGAGAGGCUUCCAGAGACAACCUUCCUCAGACUUGGGUUGAGAGACACAGAGGCGCAGAGAGGCGCAGUUGCCACCAGGCAAGAGAGAGGCCUCUAGGGACAAAGGAGGGAAAGGUGGGCUCUAUGCACUGUGGGAAGGAGCGCCAAGUGUGUGAGAGGCAGGAAGGUGGUCAUGUCUCUGUGACUGUGAGGGUGACAGUUCUGGUCUGUCUGUGUGAGCAUGGGGAAGCCCCCUAUGUUCCCUCACAGCACCCUCAGUUCUCAGACUGGGGAGAAGAGGCAGGGGACUGGUCUGGGACUUGAUGGUCCCCUUGGUAGCUGAGUUGGCUGGAAGGGGUCCAACACCCACAGUCUGUCUGGUAAUGCAGCUUUGAGGCUUAGGUUUGGGAGGUGAAUGUCAACUCUCACCCCUGUGAGGUGGCAGCUUUGCUCUGUUGGCCUCCUCAGAGGCUAAAUAAAGAAAUGCUGAGAUCUAUAAACCACCCAGCCCAGAGAGAAAAAGGAGGGAGGAAGGGCAGCUCCCUAGAAAAAAAUCCACCCCCUCCCCACCACUAAACACAUUUUUAAUUGUCCCUUGGGAACAUUUGUACAUUUGACCAAAGCAAAUCUCAAAGCAGCAGCAGCAAAAUGAGUCAGAGGGGCUGGUGGUCCAGAGAGAGCUGGGGAUUGGAGAUGGGGAGGUGAGGAGAGGUGGCAGGCAUGUUUGGGAAGGUGAGAAACUUGGCUCCUUUCCCACCAUCUCUGUCAAGCUUUAGAAAGAAAGUGAGCAGGAGAAAUAAAGUUCCAGGGGAAAGAAAGAGAAGGGCAUAUAAAAGGCAAAUCCAACCCAGAAAGGAAAGAAAGUGAAGAAGAAAGAAAAAGGCAGGGAGUGGGGAGAGACUAUAAUAAAAGAGGGUGAAGGCGGCCCCAGGAGGCUGGGCCUCGUCCCAAACCAUCCGUCUUCAUUGUCUCCGUGUGUGCAAAGGCAACUCUGGCAUAAGGAAAACCCACUAUUGGAGCCGAGGCUUUAUUUUAUAUCCUAUACAUCAGGAGGGAGGCAAAGCUUUAUUUUCGCCAAGAGACAGAUAUUUUAUUUCUCUCUUACGGUUUUAUGUGUGAGAGAUGUCAGGUUGCCACAAUGGAUGGCUAAUGCAUAGGCAAGAGGAAGCCGUGUUGGCAUGCUGUGUGUCAUGGGGUCUUGGGGGGGUGAGCGGGCCUGGGAUUUAGGGCUGAUGAGACACUCUGGGGGAUUUGUGCUAAAACAUCUCUCUUCAUAAAUCCAGAAGCAUGGUCAGCUCAACAGGGAGAAGAAGGAGUUUUAGAGGGAAAAGAGUUGGGCUUAGUAAUAAAUGAAUACACAAAGGAACCGCUUACCUUCCAACAGGCUCGGGCAACAGGGGCACGACAGCCCCAUGGAAAUGCAGACACCCAUGUCCACGCACACAAGCGCCAUUCACAGGGAAGUAUUUUCCUGACACGAAAUCCAAUGUCAGUUUCCUUUCCUUUCCCCGUUUUAUAUUUUUCCACCCCCCUUCACCAGAAAUCUUUUUUAACCUCCUCAGAGCCUUGGGGGAAAAGAGCCAUUAAUUUGCAAAUCAUCUGAUCUGUGAAAGGAUCAAGAUGCCUGGUUUUCACUGCUAAAUCCAACGUCUUGAGUGGACACAGAGGCACACACAAGCCCGUCAUGCUGCCAACCCUUGGGAGCAUAGGUGCCAGAUCUGAAGCCAAGAAAAGACUCCCUCUCCUCCCGGGACCUGCAGCUGAAUUAAGCCUUAGAUUCCAAACUGCAUAAUGUUCAUAUUUUUAAACCUGGAGAGAAGUGGAGAGAUGAAGGGGGACAAAAAGAGGGGGAACUUUGUUAAUUAACGUGUUCCAUUCAGGACUUAGACUAAUUGUCUUCCCCACUUCCAGCCGCCCCCCAACCCAAGCCAUUUCUUACAGGAGUUGCUUUUAUUCAUUCUCAUGUUCUACUUUUCUCAUUUUUGGAUUAAUAUCUACUUGUUUAAUAUCUACUGUGGCGCAAAAACGUGACCACGCUCUUUCUUUUCAGAGGGUUGGAAGCAGCACAGGAUUCCUAGACAAGGAGCUUGGAGACUUGGCUACACUGUCCCUGGCCAUUGGGGAAGACGUUUACCCUUUCCGGGCCUCAGUUUUCUCAUCUGUAACAUGAGGUGAUUCGGCUAAAUGAUUACUGAGGUCCCUUCCAGCUCCGACCUCCUCUGGCCGAAUGAGAUAAUGUGUGAAAACACUUUGUGAACACUAACACCAGACAGAUGCCAGGGAUCAUUAUUGCAAUUCUAAUCAAUCCUCUUUUCUCCACAUGGAUCUUGGCUGUUUAGUGCCAGCAAGCAGGCUAAAGGGGGCUGAAAGCAAGAAAGCUUAGCGGACAUGGAAAAGCUCUGUGCAGUGGGAGGAAAAAAAAAAAAAACCCUGCAUCUCCAGAAACAUUGUGUCUCUGUGUGCCCCCUGAGGCCUAGUGGGAAGGGUUGGGGAAGAGGAGGCCUGACUUGGUAUGACCCAUUUUGGUCUACAUGGCGGCAGAGAGUGUAUUUCUUCAAAAGCAUUGUUGGUCUCCAAGUGACUGACAUGGGAACCUGAUGGGAAGGCGAUUUGCAAUUGUUUUUUUCCAGGAAGAAAGAAAGAGCAAGGUGUAGCUGAUUAGCAAGUUAAUUAUUUCAGUACCCCAAGGGUUCCAGUGUGGUGGUAAGUUGUCCAGCCCUGGUGUAAUUUCACAGUCUGUGCAUUUCCUGGCGAGCACCUGGGGUGCCCGAGUCUGUCUCUUUCUCCUUCCACCUGCCUUGUGUCUUCCUGACACACCUGGGGAGAUGAGCAGGGGCUGGGGAGGUUGAUGGUACAAGGUACACAUUCGGCUUAGGCUGCGGGUGGGGGCCACGCCAAGAACAGGGUGGAGGAAGCCCAACUGAUGCCAUCUACCUCCGCUGAGUGUUUAAUUAUCUGGCCCUUUCUUCUUUAAAAAAAAAUCUUUUGUUUAAUAAAUAUUAAUGAGGCGGGUUAUCGGAAAGUGUAGUUGCCAUGAGGUUAUUUCCCCAGCCUUAGCAUGGAAAGAAACUGGGUUUGAGGAGCCUUUCGGCCCCUCACCGCCUUCUACCCCCACCAGCUCUCCCGUGCUCACGUUCCGCAGCAGCUCUUCCGGUCUCACUUCAAGAUUUGAUUUCCCCUUGGGGGAGGGUAGGGGAGGGAAGAUCAUGUGGUCAAAUGGACACUUCCCCUCGGAGAGAUAAGUUGGAGAUGUGAACAUUAGCCUCAAGAAUUAACAGCUUCUGCCGCUCUCUGCUCUCGGGGCUGAGAGGGCCAGCCCCCCGCUGCUCCUUCCGCGAUGGAUGAAGGGAGGGCUCUACAGUUUACUUAAGAGUGGUCCCAUCUGCUCAGACUGGCCUUUCAUAAGGGGAGGGAUUUAUGCAGUGUCCUUGUGCACAGACCUGGGAUUUGGCUGAAAACCUUGGGCCUCUGAGAAUAUUACUGAACGCUAAAACGUUCAGCCAUGGAGAUGAUUCAUGAUUUUGUCUGCAUGGACAGUGUGUGUGUGUGUGUGUGUGUGUGUGUGUGUGUGUGUGUUUGUUUGGGGUUGCACGCACAGUGAUGAUGGGUGCUAUUCACCGUUCUCACUUUGAAUCCAAAUGUUAGGAAACUUUUUUUCCUUCUGUAUUCACUCAGGAGACAGGCCCUGGCACCAGGCUCUGGAGACCCCACUUCCUGACUCCAGCGGUGCGAAGAUGAUACAAUACUUUCUGGUGCUGACAUUCAGCUGUCCCCCAAACAGGUUGGCUGAUAGCCCUGCCCGUCCUUGAAGAGGGGCCGAGGGCUGUCUAAAAAGACAGUUCUGAUGACUGCUUCGUUGCUAGUGGCAGAGGAUUUGGGGCACAGGGGUGGAGUUAAGUCCAAUUGCUGUUUAAAUUGGACUUGGCCUCCUUUAUUUUACAGUCCUAAGGGGUCUCCAUAGGAGAAAAAGUAGCGAGAGCAACUUAGAACACAGGAAAGCAAGCAUAGGGAAGAGUUUCUUGUCUCAAUCUUGGUACUGCCGUGCCAAAAUGAAGCCCAGGGAUGGUUAAAAACGGAUCCUAGGGACCGGGCACCUUGGCUCAGGCCUGUAAUCCCAGCACUUUGGGAGAUCAAGAUGGGAGGAUUGCUUGAGGCUAGGAGUUCGAGACCAGCCUGGCCAACAUAGUGAGACCUCAUCUCCAAAAAUAAAAACUUAAAAAAAAAUUUAAAAAACAAAAACAAAAAUACAGAUCCUAGGGAACAGAGCUUUGAGGUUCCCUGUGGGAUCUUGGCCUGACUCUUGGGAGAUGAAGAAGUCCUUGGCAAGUUUGAAAAGAUCUACAAGUGCCAUCUAUUCAGGGGACUAAAUGUGAUUUCUUUUCACCGCCCAGUGGCUGGUAAGGAAGGAAGCAUUUUGCAUUUUCAGCUUGUAGGAUGGUUAUUGGUGGUCCUACCAUCUUGCUCAUGUUCAAGUUUGGUCGUGUAGAUGAAGACCCCAGCUUCCCAGCUCUUAGUUUUUCUUUUCCCUCAGGCCAUUCAUAAUUUAGCUAACAUUCUAGUCCAUUGACCAGCAUGCAUUUUGAAAGGUGAGCUGGCAAGCCUGUAACUGUGUGCAAGGUUGUUCUCAUUUAGGCUCCAGGAAGGAUAUAGUUUCCCCAUAAGAAAGAAAAGUGGGCGAGAGGCUGAGGUGGGAGGUCGCUUGAGUCCGGGAGGCAAAGAUUGCAGUGAGCUGAGAACCAUGCCACUCACUGCCUUCCAGCUUGGGUGACAGAGUGAGACCCCAUCUCGAAAAAAAAGAAAAAAAAGAAAAAGAAAGAAAGAAAAAAAUAAAUAAAACAAGGAACUAUUUAUAUUAAUCUUUUAAUGAAGGAUUUACCAAUCUGAUAAGUACAAAGCUCCUUUUCCUCCUUCUGAAUGAGUAACUAUGUCAGUCAAUGUUGAGGGUCUGCAGAACCUAUACAAAAAUGCUUUCUUUGGUCUCUCAGUUUUAACACAUGCUGGGGCUUGGGCCUGCCUCUGACAGACUGGGGAGGAGUAGACACAUUCCAGAGACCAGGUCUUGGAGUGUUAUCUCUUCCCCCACCUCAAAUCCUCACCCUCCACUUUAUCUGUCUUUAGCACGAAUGCAGAGACCUCCUAGGGAAGUGUGAAGGGAUGGGUUUUCGUCAGGUUUGGGGAAGGAAGGGGAAUAAGAUGAGCCCCAAAGAAAGAUGGGGGUCAUUUGGAAUUUUUAGAUGACACUCUUUUGUUAUACUUUUCUUGUGUUGUGUAUUAUGUCCUACAAAUCGUGCAUUUGUUACAGUAAGCCACAGUGUGUAUGUGUGUUUGCCAAGUGCUACUUGGCCAAAACAGUGUUAAAUAAAAUUGUAAGAAAUGCUACCAGGGCCUUGCAUGGGU